UCCGGUUUGUCACCGGCAGUCUGCCUAGAGUCCCCAACUUUACUUGCUGGUAACUAGGCACAGGGGUUGCGCUCGUUACGGGACUUAACCCAACAUCUCACGACACGAGCUGACGACAGCCAUGCAGCACCUGUCUCUUGGUUCCUUUCGGCACUCUAUCAUCUCUGAUAAAUUCCAAGGAUGUCAAGGGUAGGUAAGGUUUUUCGCGUUGCAUCGAAUUAAACCACAUGCUCCACCGCUUGUGCGGGCCCCCGUCAAUUUCUUUGAGUUUUAGCCUUGCGGCCGUAAUCCCCAGGCGGAGUACUUAAUGCGUUAGCUUCGCUCCUGAUAAGGAUUCUCCCUACCAACAGCUAGUACUCAUCGUUUACAGCGUGGACUAC
RNAcentral lists this unclassified non-coding RNA (380 nucleotides) under uncultured Gammaproteobacteria bacterium. RNAcentral describes it as "contains 16S-23S intergenic spacer region". Lineage: Bacteria; Pseudomonadati; Pseudomonadota; Gammaproteobacteria. The record is from RNAcentral.